GGGGUAACAUUGUAGCUUGCUACAGAUGACGACCGGCGCACGGGUGCGUAACGCGUAUAGAACUUACCUUUUACAGAGGGAUAGCCUUUAGAAAUGAAGAUUAAUACCUCAUAGUAUUGAGAACUGGCAUCGGUUUUUAAUUAAAGAUUUAUCGGUAAAAGAUGGCUAUGCGUCCUAUUAGCUAGAUGGUAAGGUAACGGCUUACCAUGGCUACGAUAGGUAGGGGCCCUGAGAGGGGGAUCCCCCACACUGGUACUGAGACACGGACCAGACUCCUACGGGAGGCAGCAGUGAGGAAUAUUGGGCAAUGGAGGAGACUCUGACCCAGCCAUGCCGCGUGCAGGAAGACUGCCCUAUGGGUUGUAAACUGCUUUUAUACAGGAAGAAACACUGCUACGUGUAGCAGCUUGACGGUACUGUAAGAAUAAGGACCGGCUAACUCCGUGCCAGCAGCCGCGGUAAUACGGAGGGUCCGAGCGUUAUCCGGAAUCAUUGGGUUUAAAGGGUCCGCAGGCGGUCGAUUAAGUCAGAGGUGAAAUCCCAUAGCUUAACUAUGGAACUGCCUUUGAUACUGGUUGACUUGAGUCAUAUGGAAGUAGAUAGAAUGUGUAGUGUAGCGGUGAAAUGCAUAGAUAUUACACAGAAUACCGAUUGCGAAGGCAGUCUACUACGUAUGUACUGACGCUCAUGGACGAAAGCGUGGGGAGCGAACAGGAUUAGAUACCCUGGUAGUCCACGCCGUAAACGAUGGACACUAGUUGUUGGGCAUUAGCUCAGUGACUAAGCGAAAGUGAUAAGUGUCCCACCUGGGGAGUACGAUCGCAAGAUUGAAACUCAAAGGAAUUGACGGGGGCCCGCACAAGCGGUGGAGCAUGUGGUUUAAUUCGAUGAUACGCGAGGAACCUUACCAGGGCUUAAAUGUAGUAUGACAGGUUUAGAGAUAGACUUUUCUUCGGACAUAUUACAAGGUGCUGCAUGGUUGUCGUCAGCUCGUGCCGUGAGGUGUCAGGUUAAGUCCUAUAACGAGCGCAACCCUUGUCGUUAGUUGCCAGCAUGUAAAGAUGGGGACUCUAACGAGACUGCCGGUGCAAACCGCGAGGAAGGUGGGGAUGACGUCAAAUCAUCACGGCCCUUACG
RNAcentral lists this ribosomal RNA (1137 nucleotides) under uncultured Polaribacter sp. Its description in RNAcentral is "bacterial SSU rRNA". It matches the Rfam family "Bacterial small subunit ribosomal RNA", at positions 66 to 1206 of the family's 1533-position model. The record is from RNAcentral. Lineage: Bacteria; Pseudomonadati; Bacteroidota; Flavobacteriia; Flavobacteriales; Flavobacteriaceae.